RNAcentral lists this transfer RNA (72 nucleotides) under Camelus bactrianus (Bactrian camel). It matches the Rfam family "tRNA". From Rfam's summary of the family: Transfer RNA (tRNA) molecules are approximately 80 nucleotides in length. Their secondary structure includes four short double-helical elements and three loops (D, anti-codon, and T loops). Lineage: Eukaryota; Metazoa; Chordata; Mammalia; Artiodactyla; Camelidae. RNAcentral also lists the same sequence under 2 other names. The record is from Rfam by way of RNAcentral.
AAGGGUAUAGCUCGGUGGUAGAGUGCGUGCUUGGCAGGCACGAGGUCCUGGGUUCAAUCCCCAGUAUCUUCU